GUUUGAUUAUGGCUCAGAUUGAACGCUGGCGGGAUGCUUUACACAUGCAAGUCGAACGGCAGCACGGACUUCGGUCUGGUGGCGAGUGGCGAACGAGGUGAGUAAUGUAUCGGAACGUGCCUAGUAGCAGGGGGAUAACUACGCGAAAGCGUAGCUAAUACCGCAUACGCCCUUCGGGGGGAAAGCGAGGGGACCUUCGGGCCUCGCACUAUUAGAGCGGCCGAUAUCGGAUUGGCUAGUUGGUGGGGUAACGGCUCACCAAGGCGACGAUCCGUAGCGCUGGUUUGAGAGGACGACCAGCCACGCAGGACUGAUUACGGCCCAGACUCCUACGGGAAGGCAUGACGGGAAUUUUGGACAAUGGGGAAACCUGAUCCAGCCAUCCCGCGUGUGCGAUGAAGGCCUUCGGGUUGUAAAGCACUUUUGGCAGGAAAGAAACGGCACGGGAUAAUACCCCGUGCAACUGACGGUACCUGCAGAAUAAGCAGCUAACUACAUUGCCAGCAGCCGCGGUAAUACGUAGGGUGCAAGCGUUAAUCAGAUUACUGGGCGUAACGCGUGCGCAGGCGGUUCGAAGAAAGAUGUAAAUCCACAGGCUUAACUUUGGAACUGCAUUUAACUACCGAGCUAAGUGUGUCAGAGGGAGGUGGAAUUCCGUCAGCAGCGAGCCGAGUAAACGAAUAUGCGGAGGAACACCGAUGGCGAAGGCAUCAGGAUAACACUGACGCUCUUGCACGAAAGCGUGGGAGCAAACAGGAUUAGAUACCCUGGUAGUCCACGCCUAAACGAUGUCAACUAGCUGUUGGGGCCUUCGGGCCUUGGUAGCGCAGCUAACGCGUGAAGUUGACCGCCUGGGGGAAAUACGGUCGCAAGGUCAAUAAAGGAAUCAAUACAGGACCGCACAAGCGGUGGAUGAUGGAUUAAUUCGAUGCAACGAAAAGUACCUACCCUUGACGUAUGGAAUCGAAGAGAUUUGGGAGUGCUCGCAAGAGCAGACACAGUGCUGCAUGACCGUCGUCAGCUCGUGUCGUGAAUGUUGGAUUCGUCCCGCAACGAGCGCAACCCUUGUCAUUAGUUGCUACGAGGGCACUCUAAUGAGACUGCCGGUGACAAACCGAGGAGAGGAAGGUCGAGGAUGACGUCAAGAUCCUCAUGGCCUUAUGGUGGGCUUCCACGUCAUACAAUGGGUCGGGACAGAGGGUCGCCAACCCGCGAGAGGCCAAUCCCAGAAACCCGAUCGUAAGUCUGGAUCGCAGUCUGCAACUCGACUGCGUGAAGUCAAGAAUCGCUAGUAAUCGCCGGAUCCAGCAUGUCGCGGUGAAUACGUUCCCAGGUCUUGUACACCGCCCGUCACACCAUAGGGUGAGUUUUGCGAAGUAGUUAACAACCACGUAAGGAGGGCGAUUACCACAGUAGGGAUUCAUGACUGAGGUGAAGUCGUAACAAGGUAA
This 1451-nucleotide ribosomal RNA is filed under the name uncultured Bordetella sp. RNAcentral describes it as "partial 16S-23S ribosomal RNA intergenic spacer". It matches the Rfam family "Bacterial small subunit ribosomal RNA". Lineage: Bacteria; Pseudomonadati; Pseudomonadota; Betaproteobacteria; Burkholderiales; Alcaligenaceae. The record is from RNAcentral.